Molecule: ribosomal RNA, 1227 nt
Filed under: Triticum aestivum (bread wheat)
Lineage: Eukaryota; Viridiplantae; Streptophyta; Magnoliopsida; Poales; Poaceae
Description: partial small subunit ribosomal RNA
Source: RNAcentral
AUGCUCGAGAUGGCUGCCGUUAGUGACAAAGACCCUUUUGGAGACCUCCCUGACGAGCUCCUAUGGCGAGUGCUAUCCUUCCUGCCGGCGGACGAUGCCCUGCAGACCUGCGUGCUCGACACCCGGUGGCGCGACCUCUGGAGGCACGCGACCAGCCUGCUAUUCGUCUUCGAUGGGCCAACGUUCCCACGAUACAAGCGUUUCGAACAGUUGGUGAAGCUGGUCAUCCAUCUCCGCGGGAACUCGGCUCUCAUCAGGUGCGAGAUUGAUGCAUAUCCCCAUGAUGAGCCGGAGGAUACAUUCACAAACACCAGGCUGUUGAUUGACUACGCUCUGGCAUGCAAAGCUGAGGAGCUCGUGGUAAGAGCUGCGGUGUUCGAUGUGCCUCUCAGUCUCAUCUCUCGACAUCUCAGGACCAUACACCUUGAACGGGUGAACCUUUACUGCUCUGACCUGAAGUUCUCAGGCUGCCCAGUCUUAGAGGAUCUAACAAUUCAAUUCUGCAAUAUUCAUGCACGCAAGAUGUCAUCCAAAUCACUAAAGCGCCUAUUCAUCAUCGAUUGUUGUUCUUUACCUGACAUCGUGCGCCUUCGGAUUUGUGCCGCGAGUCUCAUCUCACUGCAGCUAGAGGAUUUUGAAGGCUUGACACCUUUUCUUGAAAACAUGCCAUUGUUAGAAACUGCCCAUGUUAAUCUUGACGAUGGAUGUCAUGAUCACUGUCGCAGUAAUCGGGGGGUUUGUGAUAAUAUUUUCUGUGGUUGUCAUACUUAUCCUGUCAAGGAGGGGGUGCUUCUCAAUAGUUUGUCCAAUGCUGCUAAGUUGGACUUGAUAGCUUUACCUAAAAUGUUUCUGUACAGAUGGGAUUUGAAAUGGUGCCCCGUCUUUGGCGAAUUAAAGACUCUGUUACUCAAUGAGUGGUUUACGGCUGUUGACCUUGUUUGCAUUCUCCGACACUCUCCAGUUCUUGAGAUACUCACUCUUCAGCUUGAUAACACCGAGAACAUUGUAGGAGCAACAGGAGCCCAAGAAACAAUAACACAAUCAUUUGUGUGUGAACACCUAAAGUUCGUUUACAUUGAAUGUGAAAAGGUUGAUGAGGGAGUUGGUUUAAUCUUGAAUAUCUUAAGUUCAUGCGGCAUACUUCAUGAGCAAAUUAGCAUCAAGGAGGAUCCACAUUCAGACUCAGAUUAUUCAUCCACUGAUAGCGACUCCACUGAUAGUGACUAA